RNAcentral lists this ribosomal RNA (461 nucleotides) under uncultured bacterium. RNAcentral describes it as "partial 16S ribosomal RNA". It matches the Rfam family "Bacterial small subunit ribosomal RNA", at positions 338 to 795 of the family's 1533-position model. The record is from RNAcentral.
CCUACGGGUGGCAGCAGUGAGGAAUAUUGGUCAAUGGGCGGAAGCCUGAACCAGCCAAGUAGCGUGCAGGAUGACGGCCCUACGGGUUGUAAACUGUUUUUAUACGGAAAUAACGCGCCUUACGUGUAGGGCUUUCCAUGUACCGUAUGAAUAAGGACCGGCUAAUUCCGUUCUAGCAGCCGCGGUAAUACGGUGGAUACAAGCGUUAUCCGGAUUUAUUGGGGUGAAGGGGUGCGUAGGCUGUGAGGUAAGUCAGCGGUGAAAUGCCCCCGCUCAACGGGGGGAAGUGCCAGUGAUACUGGCUUGCUGGAAUGCGGAUGCGGUGGGAGGAAUGUGUGGUGUAGCGGUGAAAUGCAUAGAUAUCACACAGAACACCGAUUGCGAAGGCAUCUCACGAAUCCGCGAUUGACGCUGAUGCACGAAAGCGUGGGUAUCAAACAGGAUUAGAGACCCCAGUAGUC